Molecule: transfer RNA, 74 nt
Filed under: Hyphomicrobiales bacterium
Lineage: Bacteria; Pseudomonadati; Pseudomonadota; Alphaproteobacteria; Hyphomicrobiales
Also listed under: 5 other names
Description: tRNA-Arg
Rfam family: tRNA
About the family: Transfer RNA (tRNA) molecules are approximately 80 nucleotides in length.
Source: RNAcentral
GCGCCAGUAGCUCAGCUGGAUAGAGCAACGGCCUUCUAAGCCGUAGGUCGCUGGUUCGAGUCCAGCCUGGCGCG